Molecule: long non-coding RNA, 878 nt
Filed under: Triticum aestivum (bread wheat)
Lineage: Eukaryota; Viridiplantae; Streptophyta; Magnoliopsida; Poales; Poaceae
Description: long non-coding RNA (TAES_LNC022846)
Source: RNAcentral
CACAGAAUUGGAUUCUGAAGUAGCGAUGGAGGUGAAGAUUGUGUGCUUUUAUGCAAGAUUACUACUAGUAGAUGGUAUAUUGUUUUUGCUUCAGAUUUAGGAGUGUUUGAUCGGCUACAUAGUGAAUUUGUUCAGUCUCAAAUUUUCAGUGUUAUUACUAGCAUAUUCUCCAAUUCUUGGUAUUAUUCAACAUCAGCUCUGUCUCAAUUCUUUAUCACAUCUCAUAUUGAUGUGUGGAUCAUUUAAUUGCCUAAAAUGGUCUUGCCUUUUGAGUGUUUUUAUUUUACAUUGCAUGCAAAAGGAAGUUUAUUGAGAGAAAUUAGCUUUAAUUGAUGAAGAAAGUAUGCCUCUAGUAUUACUUUUUUCAUGUUUUAUUAACUAUGAACUACAUUGUACUGUAUGGAAUCAUCUAUUUUGAUAUACAAGCCCUGUCACACGCAUAUAAACUUGAUUUUGUUGUUGUACUUGAUGAAUAUGGAAUGAUGUGUCCUUCCUUUGUUCCUACUAUUAUAACUUUUUGGAUUCAUUUGGGAGCUAGCUUUUAUAACUUACUACAAUUUUGUAUGUGUUUUUAUUCUAUGUAGGUUUGGCAGUUAAUCCGUGUUAUUGGAGAUUGAAGAAUAUUAACAAGAAUUAUUUGUGUCCGACUAGCUGCCUUGAAGCAGUGGUGUAGUGUUGGAGAUUAAAAUGAGCUAGUAGUACAUUUUCUUUGAGGUCAUGUUACUUGAUUUUUGUAAAAAAAAUGCAUAUAGCGCUUUCUAGAUAUGAUUGUGAUGUUUUGAUAAUAAGCUUUGUUUUUCUAAUCAGACAAGAUUGUUGGAACUUUGUAUUGGCAUGUGAACAAUUGCUAUUUUUUGAAUGAAUAUGAUUUGGUUGUC